Non-coding RNA from Chiloscyllium plagiosum (whitespotted bambooshark), 118 nucleotides. NCBI's taxonomy places the organism in Eukaryota, Metazoa, Chordata, Chondrichthyes, Orectolobiformes, Hemiscylliidae. The record is from RefSeq and is a predicted model, not a curated record.
UUUUUGCAGUAAACGGGAAAAUGCCUCAUCCAGCGAUUGACUCGAGUUAUUUUUUCCACAAUAUCUUUGACAGUGAAGAGUUCUUUUUUCCAAUAAAUACCAGUGAUCAAGGCCAAAG